GAAAAACUAAUGACUCACGGCUGCACAGUGAACCCAGUGAUUCUUUACAGCAGACAGUCGCUCCUCUCUCUUGCAGGUACUGUGUACCCCCGCUAAAUCGUUUAGGGGUACACAGUACCCGACCGUACCCCCCUACUUUCACCCCUGUGUUAAUGAUCACAA
Poecilia latipinna (sailfin molly) is the source of this 162-nucleotide long non-coding RNA. RefSeq lists it as uncharacterized. The record is from RefSeq and is a predicted model, not a curated record. NCBI's taxonomy places the organism in Eukaryota, Metazoa, Chordata, Actinopteri, Cyprinodontiformes, Poeciliidae. The transcript has 3 exons.